This 221-nucleotide ribosomal RNA is filed under the name uncultured bacterium. Its description in RNAcentral is "partial 16S ribosomal RNA". It matches the Rfam family "Bacterial small subunit ribosomal RNA", at positions 109 to 334 of the family's 1533-position model. The record is from RNAcentral.
AGUAAUGUCUGGGAAACUGCCUGAUGAGGGGGAUAACUACUGGAAACGGUAGCUAAUACCGCAUAACGUCGCAAGACCAAAGUGGGGGACCUUCGGGCCUCAUGCCAUCAGAUGUGCCCAGAUGGGAUUAGCUAGUAGGUGGGGUAACGGCUCACCUAGGCGACGAUCCCUAGCUGGUCUGAGAGGAUGACCAGCCACACUGGAACUGAGACACGGUCCAG